Molecule: ribosomal RNA, 231 nt
Filed under: uncultured bacterium
Lineage: Bacteria
Description: partial 16S ribosomal RNA
Rfam family: Bacterial small subunit ribosomal RNA
Source: RNAcentral
CGGGUGAGUAACGCGUGGGUAACCUGCCUCAUACAGGGGGAUAACAGUUAGAAAUGACUGCUAAUACCGCAUAAGCGCACAGUACCGCAUGGUACAGUGUGAAAAACUCCGGUGGUGUGAGAUGGAUCCGCGUCUGAUUAGCCAGUUGGCGGGGUAACGGCCCACCAAAGCGACGAUCAGUAGCCGACCUGAGAGGGUGACCGGCCACAUUGGGACUGAGACACGGCCCAA